GACGAACGCUGGCGGCGUGCUUAACACAUGCAAGUCGAACGAAGUGGCGAACGGGUGAGUAACGCGUAAUCAACCUGCCCUUCAGAGGGGGACAACAGUUGGAAACGACUGCUAAAAACGCAUACUGAAGGAGGGGAUUGCGUCUGAUUAGCGGGUUGGAGGGGUACCGGCCCACCAAGGCGAUGAUCAGUAGCCGGUCGGAUCGGAGUAACGGCCACAUUUGGACUGGGACACGGCCCAGACUCCUACGGGAGGCAUCAGUGGGGAAUCUUCCGCAAUUGACGAAAGUCUGACUGAGCAACGCCGCGUGAGUGAUGACGGCCUUCGGGUUGUAAAGCUCUUUUAAUCGGGACGCGGUACCGGAAUAGAAAGCCACGGCUAACUACGUGCCAGCAGCCGCGGUAAUAC
Molecule: ribosomal RNA, 408 nt
Filed under: uncultured bacterium
Lineage: Bacteria
Description: partial 16S ribosomal RNA
Rfam family: Bacterial small subunit ribosomal RNA
Source: RNAcentral